AGAGUUUGAUCMUGGCUCAGAUUGAACGCUGGCGGCAGGCCUAACACAUGCAAGUCGAGCGGGGGUAGCAAUACCCUAGCGGCGAACGGGUGAGGAAUGCUUGGGAAUCUGCCUCGUAGUGGGGGAUAACGUUCCGAAAGGAACGCUAAUACCGCAUACGUCCUACGGGAGAAAGGGGGGGAUCUUCGGACCUCUCGCUAUGAGAUGAGCCCAAGCGGGAUUAGCUAGUUGGUGAGGUAAAGGCUCACCAAGGCUACGAUCCCUAGCUGGUCUGAGAGGAUGAUCAGCCACACUGGAACUGAGACACGGUCCAGACUCCUACGGGAGGCAGCAGUGGGGAAUAUUGGACAAUGGGCGAAAGCCUGAUCCAGCCAUGCCGCGUGUGUGAAGAAGGCCUUCGGGUUGUAAAGCACUUUAAGCGAGGAGGAAGGUUCGUUACUUAAUACGUAACGGAAUUGACGUUACUCGCAGAAUAAGCACCGGCUAACUCUGUGCCAGCAGCCGCGGUAAUACAGAGGGUGCAAGCGUUAAUCGGAAUUACUGGGCGUAAAGCGCGCGUAGGCGGUUGUGUAAGUUGGAGGUGAAAUCCCCGGGCUCAACCUGGGCAUUGCCUUCAAAACUGCACGGCUAGAGUAUGGGAGAGGAAGGUAGAAUUCCAGGUGUAGCGGUGAAAUGCGUAGAGAUCUGGAGGAAUACCGAUGGCGAAGGCAGCCUUCUGGCCUAAUACUGACGCUGAGGUGCGAAAGCAUGGGGAGCAAACAGGAUUAGAUACCCUGGUAGUCC
RNAcentral lists this ribosomal RNA (783 nucleotides) under uncultured bacterium. Its description in RNAcentral is "bacterial SSU rRNA". It matches the Rfam family "Bacterial small subunit ribosomal RNA", at positions 8 to 796 of the family's 1533-position model. The record is from RNAcentral.